GUGUAUCUGCUCUCGAAGCAGGUAUUUAUUAUCUAUCAUACUUCCAAGAAAAGCUCGAACUACUGUUAAAUAUAAAAUACCUGUACCGUAAACCGACACAGGUAGGUUAGUAGAGUAUACUAAGGGGCGCGAGAUAACUCUCUCUAAGGAACUCGGCAAAAUGACCCCGUAACUUCGGGAGAAGGGGUGCCCACUCUAAAGGUGGGCCGCAGUGACCAGGCCCUGGCGACUGUUUAUCAAAAACAUAGGUCUCCGCAAAGUCGUAAGACAACAUAUGGGGGCUGACGCCUGCCCAGUGCCGGAAGGUUAAGGAAGUAGGUUAGGAUUUAUCCGAAGCUCACGACUGAAGCCCCGGUGAACGGCGGCCGUAACUAUAACGGUCCUAAGGUAGCGAAAUUCCUUGUCGGGUAAGUUCCGACCCGCUCGAAAGGCGUAACGAUCAGGGCACUGUCUCGGAGAGAGACUCGGUGAAAUAGACAUGUCUGUGAAGAUGCGGACUACUUGCACUUGGCCAGAAAGACCCUAUGAAGCUUGACUGUAGCUUGGAAUUGGGUUCGGGCUUUUCUUGCGCAGCCUAGGUGGGGGGCUAUGAAGAGAUACUUCUGGGUAUCUUGGAGCCAUCAGUGAGAGACCACUCUGGAGAAGCUAGAAUUCUAAUGGCGUUCCUUGAAGCAGGACGCUUGACAGUUUCAGGUGGGCAGUUUGACUGGGGCGGUCACCUCCUAAAAGGUAACGGAGGUGUGCAAAGGUUCCCUCAGGCUGGACGGAAAUCAGCCGUAGAGUGUAAAGGCAGAAGGGGGCUUGACUGCAAGACCUACAAGUCGAGCAGGGGCGAAAGCCGGCCUUAGUGAUCCGUCGGUUCCGUGUGGAAGGGCCGUCGCUAAACGGAUAAAAGUUACUCUAGGGAUAACAGGCUGAUCUUCCCCAAGAGUUCACAUCGACGGGAAGGUUUGGCACCUCGAUGUCGGCUCAUCGCAACCUGGGGCGGUAGUACGUCCCAAGGGUUGGGCUGUUCGCCCAUGAAAGCGGUACGUGAGCUGGGUUCAGAACGUCGUGAGACAGUUCGGUCCAUAUCCGGUGUAAGCGUUGGAGCAUUGAGAGGAUUCUUCCAUAGUACGAGAGGACCUGGAAGAACACACCUCUGGUAUACCAGUUAUCACGCCAGUGGUAAACGCUGGGUAGCCAAGUGUGGAGAGGAUAACCGCUGAAAGCAUCUAAGUGGGAAGCCCACCUCAAGAUGAGUGCUCCCUAUGAGGUCACGGCAAGACCAGCCGUUUGAUAGGCAGUAGGUGUACGUCUAGUAAUAGAUUUAGCUGAGCUGUACUAAUAGACCCAUUGAUUUU
RNAcentral lists this ribosomal RNA (1343 nucleotides) under metagenome. RNAcentral describes it as "bacterial LSU rRNA". It matches the Rfam family "Bacterial large subunit ribosomal RNA", at positions 1568 to 2925 of the family's 2925-position model. The record is from RNAcentral.